Ribosomal RNA from Chlorocebus sabaeus (green monkey), 108 nucleotides. The record is from Ensembl. Lineage: Eukaryota; Metazoa; Chordata; Mammalia; Primates; Cercopithecidae.
GUCUAUGGCCAUACCAUUCUGAACCUGCCAGAUCUUGGAAGCUAAGCAGGAUUGGGUCUGGUUAGUACUUAGAUGGGAGAACAACAAAGAAUUGGUGAACAGCAGCUC